Molecule: long non-coding RNA, 1914 nt
Organism: Manis pentadactyla (Chinese pangolin)
Lineage: Eukaryota; Metazoa; Chordata; Mammalia; Pholidota; Manidae
Exons: 3
Source: RefSeq, a predicted model, not a curated record
UUACCUAAAUUUAAGUCUUUAAUAGAAUCAGCUCUCUCUGUCAAGUGCUGCUUUCCUAAAUACUUUAUUAGACAGUCAAUACUUAAUAGGCAGGAAAAGGCUUUGGGAGGUUUUGGGAACCAGGCCUGCCCCAGACAUUCACAGGGUUCCAGGCAAGAUGUCAAGUGGAGGUUUGCAUGCUGUACCUCCAAAUAAUUAAAAUAUGUACAUCAAGCUAACAUACACAGCGAAUCUGUGCUAUUUCCAACAGGCACCUGGAAAGAUGUUCGACAUCACUAAUUGUUAGGAAAACGCAAAGCCGGCCCACAGUGAGAUGCCACCUCACACCUAUCAGGAUGGCACCACCAAGAACCAGGAGACAGGUGAUGCUGGGAGCAGGUGCAGACUGCAAGCUCUGCACACUGUGGGUAGGAAUAGAAAACGGUGCAGCUGCUGGAAAACAGUGCGGUGGUCCUCCAGGAAAAUCAGAAACAAUGCCAUGUAAUUCAGCAGUUCCUCCUCUGGGUAUAUGCCCGGAAGAGGUGAAGGCAGGGUCUGGAGCGAUGCUGGCACACCCGCGUUCAGAGCAGCGCCCUUCGCGGCAGCCGGACGGAGGAGGCGGCACGAGCACCGGCGGGUGGGUGAGGGCGUACGCAGGGUGCGCGCACAGCGGGGUGUCAUUCGGCCUCAGAAAGGAAGGAGAGCCUGUCACAGGCCACAGCGUGGAUAACGGUGGGGACAUUAUGCUAAGGAAGUAAGCCGGUCACAGAAAGACAACUACUGUAGGGUUCCACUUCUGUUAUGUGCCUGCAGGAAUCGGAUUCACAGAGACAGGAAGCAGAUGGUGUUUGCCGGGGGCUGGGGGACAGAGAAUUGAAAGGCAGAGACACAAUAGCAAAGCAGAAUGUUUUAUUUAAAAACACUCCAAGGGAGGAGAGGGCGGAGUCAAGGGAGCCGAGGGCCCCCAGCUUUUAGGGGACAGUCUCUUCACCGUGUCCCAGCUGGGGUGCCUCUUUGAUUGACAGGGUGAGGGCAUUUGACUGACAGCCCUAGUUACACACCCACUCCUCUUGGUGCAUGUCUUCUUCCAAAAUUCAUACAGAAAAGCCCGCAGAGGAGCAAAAUUGCGAUGUAAAUUUUAUUUUAAUGAGAUUAUGAAGAGCUGUGGUUGUGCAAUAGCUCUGUUGCAUUGUUCCUGCCAUGGGACCCGGCUGGACCCACAGGCCGGAAGUUAGCUCCCUGCAAAGCCUCGGUCCUCUUCACGUGGGCCCCGCACGCGGGCGUGGUUUGGGCCGUUCCUUUCUUCAGCCUUGUUUUCUCCUUCCCCAGCUGCUCGUGGCUAUGGGGGCACCUGGGGCGUGGUGAGGCGGCCCUCACAUGGAGACUCCUGCAGUCAGGACGGCCCGUGAUCCGGCCCGGCGGGCGGGGGUGUCUCAGCCUGUGGCGUCAGCUCCCUCCAGCAUGCGCGGGGCUCGCUCGUCCUCGGGCCAGUGCGGGGAGGUGGGCUUCCCUCCACGGGCCCUGCAGGGAGGGUCCUGUGCGGGCCUGGAGCCGCUUCUGUGGGUCACACAGAGAUUCUGGCCUGGAGGUGAGCUCUUCAGAUGGCACGCACUUUAUGUAAUUAUUUCCCUUCAUCCUCACUGCGAGGUACGGAUGGUCUCUGUUACCACAGAUGAAGACAUGGAGGCUCAGAGCAACGACCUGGCCGGUGUCACACAUCAGCCGAAAGGCCCGGACUUGAACCGACUGGUUUGACAGCUGGUGAUGUGCGGUGUGAUCCUCUUGUAAUGCUGAGCCGGGCAGCGAGUGCAGCUCCCGUCAGCCAGGUGGUCGCACAGAAAAAGAAGACAGCAUGAGAUCUGAUCUGUAAGUGACCUAAGAGCAACCAGCGUCAGAGCGCUGGCGCCCAGGUCCCUCUGAGCCACGGCCCUCGAU